UUCACAUGGUUCAGAUAAUUCCGUUUCUUUCAGCACUAUAAGCAAAACAUUGAUAUGUUUUCUUCCUUCAUUUCCCAAGCUGUGCAUUUUAUUUCUUCCAGCAGGACCAUGGGUAAGCAAAUCAUUCCAAAUUUAGCACAUUGGAAAUGUCUCAUGUUUAAAUCAUAGAUGUUUUUAUGGGUUGUGUGCCUUUUGCUAACUUUAUCUCCCACUUUGCUUCAGGUAAUAUCCUGAAUGAUGGCAGUUUCUUCUGCAUCCAGACUGGUGACUGUGUUCAACUCUCAGCAUGGCCAGUUGUUACCAUUUUAAUUCCCAUCUAUGGACAAUGA
Molecule: long non-coding RNA, 329 nt
Filed under: Mustela putorius furo (domestic ferret)
Lineage: Eukaryota; Metazoa; Chordata; Mammalia; Carnivora; Mustelidae
Description: lncRNA (ENSMPUG00000029907.1)
Source: RNAcentral